AAUGCACCAAUUUGUAAGUCGCUCUGGAUAAGAGCGUCUGCUAAAUGGCUUAAA
Non-coding RNA from Salmo salar (Atlantic salmon), 54 nucleotides. The record is from Rfam. Lineage: Eukaryota; Metazoa; Chordata; Actinopteri; Salmoniformes; Salmonidae.